RNAcentral lists this transfer RNA (75 nucleotides) under Hadesarchaea archaeon. RNAcentral's name for it is "tRNA-Gly". It matches the Rfam family "tRNA". Rfam says of the family: Transfer RNA (tRNA) molecules are approximately 80 nucleotides in length. Their secondary structure includes four short double-helical elements and three loops (D, anti-codon, and T loops). Further hydrogen bonds mediate the characteristic L-shaped molecular structure. tRNAs have two regions of fundamental functional importance: the anti-codon, which is responsible for specific mRNA codon recognition, and the 3' end, to which the tRNAs corresponding amino acid is attached (by aminoacyl-tRNA synthetases). tRNAs cope with the degeneracy of the genetic code in two manners: having more than one tRNA (with a specific anti-codon) for a particular amino acid; and 'wobble' base-pairing, i.e. permitting non-standard base-pairing at the 3rd anti-codon position. Lineage: Archaea; Methanobacteriati; Hadarchaeota (SeqCode); Hadarchaeia (SeqCode). The record is from RNAcentral.
GCGGCCGUAGUCUAGCCUGGUCUAGGACACGAGCCUGCCAAGCUUGUGACGCGGGUUCAAAUCCCGCCGGCCGCA